Triticum aestivum (bread wheat) is the source of this 1784-nucleotide long non-coding RNA. RefSeq lists it as uncharacterized. The record is from RefSeq and is a predicted model, not a curated record. The transcript has 7 exons. Lineage: Eukaryota; Viridiplantae; Streptophyta; Magnoliopsida; Poales; Poaceae.
AAAUAUCUACAUAGAACUCUCUCUCUCUCCGUGAAAAAAAGAACUCUCCUCUCCUCCCGUACGAUCCCCACCAGGCUCCUCAUACACAUCCGCCAUUUCUUCCGAUUUGCCGCCGGCGAAGGACGGCGUCUUUGUGCCCCAUCAGGAAACUAAUCCUCACGCUAUCCCAGAUCCACAUGUCGCUUCUUUUCUCCUGAUUUUUCUUCCUUGGUGGUGGCACAUGUGGCUGGGUGAGUGUGUGGAUCUCGGCGAACUCGUCGACUCUGGCAACGCGGUCAUGGAGAUGUCCAGUGGGAACGCGGGCUGCGCUGCUCAAACUUGUCGUGCCCGGAGGCUCUAGAUGUUGGGGCCGCGGAGGCAUUGAGGGAGCUCACAGAGGAAGAAAUAUCUGCAAGACGUGAGUAUCUUCUGUGAGUGUUGUUGCCCUCCUGCUGCCCGGACUUCUACCAAAUCACAAAGGGCCACUUUGAGUCGCUUGGUGACAUAAUGAUUAUAGGAGCAUCACCUGCAAACCUACCUUCAAUUUUAGCUCGUGGACUGGAAUUCCUGGGAAGAUCAUGUUGCUAAGGAGCUCUGUUGCACACAUAUUCUCCAUUGUGUUGUAAUUCAUUGUUUCCUUGCACACAGUGUCCAAGUAUAGAUUGCUCUUUCUUCGAGAAAUUCACGGUUACGAUAGUCUUGCUGCAAGUUUGGAUCGUAAUAUCCAUUCUGCAAAUUCGGCCACAUUUUGCUUUUCUAUUGGAUCUUCUGACAGACUUUAGCCGCAUGUUUUCAGUUAGUCUAAAUAUUUCGAAGUACUUCCAUAGGUAUGACCUUUUGACCGAGGCAUUUACUAUCUGCUCUCUCUUUUCCUUUGUUAUGACUUGAAAUAUUUGUCUGAAGUCACCUUCUAGCACAACUUUCAUGUCACCAAAUGACCUUUCUUCACUAUUUUGGUUUGUGAACCUUAGAAUAUCCCUAAGGCUAUUUUCUAGUGCAUUGAAGCAGUGUUUGUUUGCCAUAGGAGCCUCGUCCCAUAGUAUUAGUGAGGUCUUCUUUACCAGUUCAGCCAAAUGAGCAAAGCUGCAACGCCAGAUGAUGCUAACGCAAGCACUUUCUUUCCCUCUGACCGUAGCUUCGUUGUAAUUGCUUUCCACAGAUAAAUUUUGCCUGUGCCACCGUAGCCUUCUACAAAUAUCUAUUUUCCAAGUCCUUUCGCAACUGAUUCCAUUAUUGCAUCAAAGGCCAAAAGUGCUUUGGCGUCACUUCUUCCGAGGUCGAUUGGAGUAGCUGGGCAUGGCUUUGUCAUGCGUUGAGUGUGCUUUGGCGUGACUUCGUCGGACGUAGAGUGAAGCGGCUGGAGGUGGCUUUGCGUAUCAAAUGUCGAGUUGCCCAGUUGCGUGUGAUGUCUUCAAGCCAUCUGAGUUGCCGAGUCGCGUGUGAUGUCUUCAAGCCAUCUUGGUUGCCGACAUCAAAAAUUUUGGUGUGUGCUUCUACGGCCGGCUGUACUUGUUUAUAUAUGGGUGGAGGUGCGUGGGUUGAGGUGGCCGAGACCGUGAAAGCAGAUCGGAAACCUGUCUUUUUUUCAUGUCUUGGUUCCUGUUUUGGAACUUCCUCACGUGAGGUCUGGUUAGGUCCAAUCGUUGUCCUUAUUUGUUUAGGUUUCCUACUAUUUUUGCUUCCUUGACCCAUUGAUUAAAAGAUUUUUUUUUUCUGCGGGCUAGUUGACGAUUUGGAUGGAACCUAUGUGCACUAUUUGUACGUGGCAUGUUAUACUACUUGUACAUGUACAUAUUUUUACGUAA